GACGAACGUUGGCGGCGUGCUUAACACAUGCAAGUCGAACGGAAAGGCCCUGCUUUUGUGGGGUGCUCGAGUGGCGAACGGGUGAGUAACACGUGAGUAACCUGCCCUUGACUUUGGGAUAACUUCAGGAAACUGGGGCUAAUACCGGAUAGGAGCUCCUGCUGCAUGGUGGGGGUUGGAAAGUUUCGGCGGUUGGGGAUGGACUCGCGGCUUAUCAGCUUGUUGGUGGGGUAGUGGCUUACCAAGGCUUUGACGGGUAGCCGGCCUGAGAGGGUGACCGGCCACAUUGGGACUGAGAUACGGCCCAGACUCCUACGGGAGGCAGCAGUGGGGAAUAUUGCACAAUGGGCGGAAGCCUGAUGCAGCAACGCCGCGUGCGGGAUGACGGCCUUCGGGUUGUAAACCGCUUUCGCCUGUGACGAAGCGUGAGUGACGGUAAUGGGUAAAGAAGCACCGGCUAACUACGUGCCAGCAGCCGCGGUGAUACGUAGGGUGCGAGCGUUGUCCGGAUUUAUUGGGCGUAAAGGGCUCGUAGGUGGUUGAUCGCGUCGGAAGUGUAAUCUUGGGGCUUAACCCUGAGCGUGCUUUCGAUACGGGUUGACUUGAGGAAGGUAGGGGAGAAUGGAAUUCCUGGUGGAGCGGUGGAAUGCGCAGAUAUCAGGAGGAACACCAGUGGCGAAGGCGGUUCUCUGGGCCUUUCCUGACGCUGAGGAGCGAAAGCGUGGGGAGCGAACAGGCUUAGAUACCCUGGUAGUCCACGCUGUAAACGGUGGGUACUAGGUGUGGGGUCCAUUCCACGGGUUCCGUGCCGUAGCUAACGCUUUAAGUACCCCGCCUGGGGAGUACGGCCGCAAGGCUAAAACUCAAAGGAAUUGACGGGGCCCCGCACAAGCGGCGGAGCAUGCGGAUUAAUUCGAUGCAACGCGUAGAACCUUACCUGGGUUUGACAUGGAUCGGGAGUGCUCAGAGAUGGGUGUGCCUCUUUUGGGGUCGGUUCACAGGUGGUGCAUGCCUGUCGUCAGCUCGUGUCGUGAGAUGUUGGGUUAAGUCCCGCAACGAGCGCAACCCUUGUUCACUGUUGCCAGCACGUUAUGGUGGGGACUCAGUGGAGACCGCCGGGGUCAACUCGGAGGAAGGUGGGGAUGACGUCAAGUCCUCAUGCCCCUUAUGUCCAGGGCUUCACGCAUGCUACAAUGGCUGGUACAGAGAGUGGCGAGCCUGUGAGGGUGAGCGAAUCUCGGAAAGCCGGUCUCAGUUCGGAUUGGGGUCUGCAACUCGACCUCAUGAAGUCGGAGUCGCUAGUAAUCGCAAAUCAGCAACGCUGCGGUGAAUACGUUCCCGGGGCU
RNAcentral lists this ribosomal RNA (1346 nucleotides) under uncultured bacterium. Its description in RNAcentral is "bacterial SSU rRNA". It matches the Rfam family "Bacterial small subunit ribosomal RNA", at positions 28 to 1381 of the family's 1533-position model. The record is from RNAcentral.